Molecule: non-coding RNA, 74 nt
Organism: Scomber scombrus (Atlantic mackerel)
Lineage: Eukaryota; Metazoa; Chordata; Actinopteri; Scombriformes; Scombridae
Source: the annotation of a RefSeq genome assembly
GCUUCAGUGGUGCAAUCGGUCAGCGCGAGGUACUUACAAUGCUGAGGUUGUGAGUUCAAGCCUCACCUGGAGCA